UGGUGGAGUGAUUUGUCUGGUUAAUUCCGAUAACGAACGAGACCUUAACCUGCUAAAUAGUCACUGGAAGCUGCUAUCAAAGCAUUGUUGUCGUGGAGCGGUGAAGGUUCGCUGGAUCUCGAAGCGGCGGCAGUGUGGUUGCUUCCUAGGAUGCACUUCUUAGAGGGACUUUCAGCUCUGAAGCUGAAGGAAGUUUGAGGCAAUAACA
RNAcentral lists this ribosomal RNA (208 nucleotides) under uncultured eukaryote. RNAcentral describes it as "partial 18S ribosomal RNA". It matches the Rfam family "Eukaryotic small subunit ribosomal RNA", at positions 1299 to 1458 of the family's 1831-position model. The record is from RNAcentral.